RNAcentral lists this transfer RNA (77 nucleotides) under Bacteroidota bacterium. Its description in RNAcentral is "Bacteroidetes bacterium (hot springs metagenome) tRNA-Pro". It matches the Rfam family "tRNA". Rfam says of the family: Transfer RNA (tRNA) molecules are approximately 80 nucleotides in length. Their secondary structure includes four short double-helical elements and three loops (D, anti-codon, and T loops). Lineage: Bacteria; Pseudomonadati; Bacteroidota. The record is from RNAcentral.
CGGGGUGUAGCGCAGUUGGUUAGCGUAUCUGCUUUGGGAGCAGGUGGUCGUCAGUUCGAGUCUGACCACCCCGACAA